UACAGGAGCCGCAAGACCCACCACUGUAGGAUGGGGAACUGAGGCACAGAAAAAGCAAGUGGCACAUUUCAAGUGCUCAGCACCCAGCAGCUCCUGUUAUGACAUGUAUGGCCAGGUUUUGGGAUGUUCUGGGAGCUCUUUGGAAAAUUUGGGCCCAGUUACGGAUGCUGAACCAUUCUGAAAAUUCUGGCCUAUGUGAUUUGUCCAAAGUCACACAGGAAGUCUUUGGCUGAGACAGGAAUGAGCUCCAGGUCUUCAGAGUCCCAGUCCAACACCACAAGAGCAUCCUGAUAUUUUCUCUGCAAUCAUUACUCUGCUGUGAAAGAAAAGGCAAAAUCCAGGAUUGGUGUUUCUGGCAGUGUAACAACUUUAAAUCCAGAAGUAAUUUUGAUCAGACACUAAGAAUCCUAUAGUUUCAAGGAUAUAAAGUUUGAAUUUUGUGAAUUCACAGUGAUAUAAACUGAAUGAGACUAAGGAAAUGCCACCAUC
Molecule: long non-coding RNA, 489 nt
Organism: Mauremys mutica (yellowpond turtle)
Lineage: Eukaryota; Metazoa; Chordata; Testudines; Geoemydidae
Exons: 3
Source: RefSeq, a predicted model, not a curated record